ACCGGCCACCAUCACCCCGAAGGGAUCCGGUUGAUCCGGGUUAGGACUCUUAGCACCACUGGAUUAGCUUGGGCGGUUGUUCGCCGGUACGGGAAUAUCAACCCGUUGUCCAUCGACUACGCCUGUCGGCCUCGCCUUGGUCCCGACUUACCCAGGGCGGAUUAACCUGGCCCUGGAACCCUUGGUCUUUCGGAGGACGGGUUUCUCACCCGUCUUUCGCUACUCAUGCCUGCAUUCUCACUCGUGUAGCGUCCACGGCUGGACCACCUCCUUUAUGCACAAUGGGCGAAAGCCUGAUGCAGCAACGCCGCGUGAGGGAUGACGGCCUUCGGGUUGUAAACCUCUUUUAGUAGGGAAGAAGCGAAAGUGACGGUACCUGCAGAAAAAGCACCGGCUAACUACGUGCCAGCAGCCGCGGUAAUACGUAGGGUGCAAGCGUUGUCCGGAAUUAUUGGGCGUAAAGAGCUCGUAGGCGGUUUGUCGCGUCUGCUGUGAAAUCCCGAGGCUCAACCUCGGGCUUGCAGUGGGUACGGGCAGACUAGAGUGCGGUAGGGGAGAUUGGAAUUCCUGGUGUAGCGGUGGAAUGCGCAGA
RNAcentral lists this ribosomal RNA (592 nucleotides) under Microbacteriaceae bacterium HRTP135. RNAcentral's name for it is "bacterial SSU rRNA". The stretch from base 135 to 592 matches the Rfam family "Bacterial small subunit ribosomal RNA", at positions 1 to 694 of the family's 1533-position model. The record is from RNAcentral. Lineage: Bacteria; Bacillati; Actinomycetota; Actinomycetes; Micrococcales; Microbacteriaceae.